CCGGAGGGCUUGUAGCUCAGUUGGUUAGAGCGCGCGCUUGAUAAGCGUGAGGUCGGAGGUUCAAGUCCUCCCAGGCCCACCAAUUUAUGAUAAAAAAAUGCUGAUAAUUAAGUUUGUUACUGAUAAGUUUUUUUUUAAAAAAUUAAUUUGUGAAUGUUUUUUGAUGGUCUUUUAUCUUACAAUAUAAUAAAAAAUUUAAAUAAAAUAAUUACUUUCAUUUAUAACUUUUAUUUAAAAAAAAAAAAAUAUAUAAUUAAAUUUUGUUGCAAUAAUUUUAUUAUAUAAAUUAAAUUAAAAUAUUUUCUUUCAAAAGUAAAUUUGAACAUAAUUGUUUUAGGGGCCGUAGCUCAGCUGGGAGAGCACCUGCUUUGCAAGCAGGGGGUCGUCGGUUCGAUCCCGUCCGGCUCCACCAUCUUUGGUUAUCAUCAUCGUUAAAGAACAAUGUUUGCAAUAGAUCUGUAGAUCUUAAGUCUAUCAUCUAUUGCCUGUUCUAUUGAAAUUGUG
Molecule: transfer RNA, 504 nt
Filed under: Bartonella schoenbuchensis
Lineage: Bacteria; Pseudomonadati; Pseudomonadota; Alphaproteobacteria; Hyphomicrobiales; Bartonellaceae
Description: partial 16S-23S ribosomal RNA intergenic spacer
Rfam family: tRNA (bases 6-79)
Source: RNAcentral